This 449-nucleotide ribosomal RNA is filed under the name uncultured bacterium. Its description in RNAcentral is "bacterial SSU rRNA". It matches the Rfam family "Bacterial small subunit ribosomal RNA", at positions 329 to 794 of the family's 1533-position model. The record is from RNAcentral.
UGCCAGACUCCUACGGGAGGCAGCAGUGGGGAAUAUCGCACAAUGGGGGAAACCCUGAUGCAGCAACGCCGCGUGAGUGAAGAAGUAUUUCGGUAUGUAAAGCUCUAUCAGCAGGGAAGAAGAUGACGGUACCUGAGUAAGAAGCCCCGGCUAACUACGUGCCAGCAGCCGCGGUAAUACGUAGGGGGCAAGCGUUAUCCGGAUUUACUGGGUGUAAAGGGAGCGUAGACGGUGAGACAAGUCUGAAGUGAAAGCCCGGGGCUCAACCCCGGGACUGCUUUGGAAACUGCCUGACUGGAGUGCUGGAGAGGCAAGCGGAAUUCCUAGUGUAGCGGUGAAAUGCGUAGAUAUUAGGAAGAACACCAGUGGCGAAGGCGGCUUGCUGGACAGUAACUGACGUUGAGGCUCGAAAGCGUGGGGAGCAAACAGGAUUAGAUACCCUGGUACGA